This 502-nucleotide ribosomal RNA is filed under the name uncultured bacterium. RNAcentral's name for it is "partial 16S ribosomal RNA". It matches the Rfam family "Bacterial small subunit ribosomal RNA", at positions 28 to 507 of the family's 1533-position model. The record is from RNAcentral.
GACGAACGCUGGCGGCGUGCUUAACACAUGCAAGUCGAACGGUGAAGGGGCCUGCUUUUGUGGGCCCUGGAUGAGUGGCGAACGGGUGAGUAACACGUGAGUAACCUGCCCCCUUCUUCUGGAUAACCGCAUGAAAGUGUGGCUAAUACGGGAUAUUCUGGGUCUGUCGCAUGAUGGGUCUGGGAAAGAUUGCGCCUUUGGGUGUUUUUGGUGGGGGAUGGGCUCGCGGCCUAUCAGCUUGUUGGUGGGGUGAUGGCCUACCAAGGCGGUGACGGGUAGCCGGCCUGAGGGGGUGGACGGUCACAAUGGGACUGCGACACGGCGGAGACUCCUACGGGAGGCAGCAGUGGGGAAUAUUGCACAAUGGGCGCAAGCCUGAUGCAGCGACGCCGCGUGAGGGAUGGAGGCCUUCGGGUUGUAAACCUCUUUCGCCAGUGAAGCAGGCCUGCUCCUUGUGGGUGGGUUGACGGUAGCUGGAUAAGAAGCGCCGGCUAACUACGUG